This 121-nucleotide transfer RNA is filed under the name Candidatus Terrarchaeum hikurangii. Its description in RNAcentral is "tRNA-Pro". Lineage: Archaea; Nanobdellati; Candidatus Terrarchaeota; Candidatus Terrarchaeia; Candidatus Terrarchaeales; Candidatus Terrarchaeaceae. The record is from RNAcentral. RNAcentral also lists the same sequence under 1 other name.
GGGACUGUAGGGUAGCUUCAUGUGAAAGUGUUUCACAAGCUUUUAGAUGCUUCACAUGCUAAAAUGGUCAUCCUGUGAGCUUUGGGAGCUUAUGACCCCGGUUCAAAUCCGGGCAGUCCCA